UCCAACGUUAAUCGGGGCAGGGUGAGUCGACCCCUAAGGCGAGGCUGAAAAGCGUAGUCGAUGGGAAACAGGUUAAUAUUCCUGUACUUGGUGUUACUGCGAAGGGGGGACGGAGAAGGCUAGGCUAGCCGGGCGACGGUUGUCCCGGUUUAAGCGUGUAGGGGGUGUGACCUGGUAAAUCCGGUUACAUAUCAACCCUGAGGCGUGAUGACGAUGCACUACGGUGCAGAAGUAGUUGAUGCCCUGCUUCCAGGAAAAGCCUCUAAGCUCUAGGUAACAUUGAAUCGUACCCCAAACCGACACAGGUGGUCAGGUAGAGAAUACCAAGGCGCUUGAGAGAACUCGGGUGAAGGAACUAGGCAAAAUGGUGCCGUAACUUCGGGAGAAGGCACGCUGGCAUGUAGGUGAAGUCCCUUGCGGAUGGAGCUGAAGCCAGUCGAAGAUACCAGCUGGCUGC
Molecule: ribosomal RNA, 457 nt
Filed under: Serratia marcescens
Lineage: Bacteria; Pseudomonadati; Pseudomonadota; Gammaproteobacteria; Enterobacterales; Yersiniaceae
Description: bacterial LSU rRNA
Rfam family: Bacterial large subunit ribosomal RNA
Source: RNAcentral